RNAcentral lists this ribosomal RNA (914 nucleotides) under uncultured archaeon. Its description in RNAcentral is "bacterial SSU rRNA". It matches the Rfam family "Archaeal small subunit ribosomal RNA", at positions 1 to 922 of the family's 1478-position model. The record is from RNAcentral.
UUCCGGUUGAUCCUGCCGGAGAUUACCGCUAUUGGGAUUCGAUUAAGCCAUGCGAGUUUCUGACUUUUGUCAGAGCAAACGGCUGAGUAACACGUAGUUAACUUGCCCUUAAGUCAAUCAUACCCUUGGGAAACUGAGGAUAAUUAUUGAUAGAAGAUUAUUCCUGGAAUGGUUUUUCUUUUAAAGCUUCGGCGCUUAAGGAUAAGACUGCGGUGGAUUAGGCUGAUGUCAGGGUAAUUACCUGACAUACCUAUAAUCUAUAGGGGCUGUGAGAGCAGUGGCCCCCAGAUGGAUUCUGAGACACGAAUCCAGGCCCUAAGGGGCGCAGCAGGCGCGAAAACUCCGCAAUGCACGAAAGUGUGACGGGGGUAUCCCGAGUGCUGGCGUACUACGUCAGCUUUUUUAGAGUUUAAAUUGCUCUAAGAAUAAGUGAUGGGUAAGACCGUUGCCAGCCGCCGCGGUAAUAACGGCGUCACAAGUGGUAAUCACGCGUAUUGGGUCUAAAGCAUCCGUAGCCGGUCUAACAAGUCUUCUGUGAAAUCUCAUGGAAAACUAUGAGGCGUGCAGGAGAAACUGUUAGACUUGGAACUGGAAGGGGUUAGAGGUACUUCUGGGGUAGAGGUGGAAUUCUGUAAUCCCAGAGGGACCACCUGUGGCGAAGGCGUCUAACUAGGACGGGUUCGACGGUUAGGGAUGAAAGCUAGGGGAGCAAAGGGGAUUAGAUACCCCCGUAGUCCUAGCUGUAAACGAUGCCCGCUAGGUAUUGGGAGUUUUUCGUGAACUUUCAGUGCCGUAGGGAAGCCAUUAAGCGGGCCACCUGGGAAGUACGGUCGCAAGGCUGAAACUUAAAGGAAUUGGCGGGGGAGUACCACAACCGGUGGAGCCCCUGCGGUUUAAUUGGAUUCAACGCCGGA